Molecule: ribosomal RNA, 2989 nt
Filed under: Salmonella enterica subsp. enterica serovar Newport
Lineage: Bacteria; Pseudomonadati; Pseudomonadota; Gammaproteobacteria; Enterobacterales; Enterobacteriaceae
Description: 23S ribosomal RNA
Rfam family: Bacterial large subunit ribosomal RNA
Source: RNAcentral
GGUUAAGCGACUAAGCGUACACGGUGGAUGCCCUGGCAGUCAGAGGCGAUGAAGGGCGUGCUAAUCUGCGAUAAGCGCCGGUAAGGUGAUAUGAACCGUUAUAACCGGCGAUACCCGAAUGGGGAAACCCAGUGUGACUCGUCACACUAUCAUUAACUGAAUCCAUAGGUUAAUGAGGCGAACCGGGGGAACUGAAACAUCUAAGUACCCCGAGGAAAAGAAAUCAACCGAGAUUCCCCCAGUAGCGGCGAGCGAACGGGGAGGAGCCCAGAGCCUGAAUCAGCAUGUGUGUUAGUGGAAGCGUCUGGAAAGGCGCGCGAUACAGGGUGACAGCCCCGUACACAAAAGCGCAUGUGCUGUGAGCUCGAUGAGUAGGGCGGGACACGUGGUAUCCUGUCUGAAUAUGGGGGGACCAUCCUCCAAGGCUAAAUACUCCUGACUGACCGAUAGUGAACCAGUACCGUGAGGGAAAGGCGAAAAGAACCCCGGCGAGGGGAGUGAAAAAGAACCUGAAACCGUGUACGUACAAGCAGUGGGAGCACAGGUUUACCUGUGUGACUGCGUACCUUUUGUAUAAUGGGUCAGCGACUUAUAUUCUGUAGCAAGGUUAACCGAAUAGGGGAGCCGGAGGGAAACCGAGUCUUAAUUGGGCGUUAAGUUGCAGGGUAUAGACCCGAAACCCGGUGAUCUAGCCAUGGGCAGGUUGAAGGUUGGGUAACACUAACUGGAGGACCGAACCGACUAAUGUUGAAAAAUUAGCGGAUGACCUGUGGCUGGGGGUGAAAGGCCAAUCAAACCGGGAGAUAGCUGGUUCUCCCCGAAAGCUAUUUAGGUAGCGCCUCGUGAAUUCAUCUCCGGGGGUAGAGCACUGUUUCGGCUAGGGGGCCAUCCCGGCUUACCAACCCGAUGCAAACUGCGAAUACCGGAGAAUGUUAUCACGGGAGACACACGGCGGGUGCUAACGUCCGUCGUGAAGAGGGAAACAACCCAGACCGCCAGCUAAGGUCCCAAAGUCAUGGUUAAGUGGGAAACGAUGUGGGAAGGCCCAGACAGCCAGGAUGUUGGCUUAGAAGCAGCCAUCAUUUAAAGAAAGCGUAAUAGCUCACUGGUCGAGUCGGCCUGCGCGGAAGAUGUAACGGGGCUAAACCAUGCACCGAAGCUGCGGCAGCGAACGUAUCACUUAAAGCGAUUCAGCGGGUUACGAUUGACGGAGCGAAGCGACGUCAAAGCGUAUACAAAGUCGAGUCGGUUUAAGGAUACGUUCGUUGGGUAGGGGAGCGUUCUGUAAGCCUGUGAAGGUGGCCUGUGAGGGUUGCUGGAGGUAUCAGAAGUGCGAAUGCUGACAUAAGUAACGAUAAAGCGGGUGAAAAGCCCGCUCGCCGGAAGACCAAGGGUUCCUGUCCAACGUUAAUCGGGGCAGGGUGAGUCGACCCCUAAGGCGAGGCCGAAAGGCGUAGUCGAUGGGAAACGGGUUAAUAUUCCCGUACUUGGUGUUACUGCGAAGGGGGGACGGAGAAGGCUAUGUUGGCCGGGCGACGGUUGUCCCGGUUUAAGCGUGUAGGUGUGUGUUCCAGGUAAAUCCGGUUCACUUUAACACUGAGGCGUGACGACGAGGCACUACGGUGCUGAAGCAACAAAUGCCCUGCUUCCAGGAAAAGCCUCUAAGCAUCAGGUAACAUCAAAUCGUACCCCAAACCGACACAGGUGGUCAGGUAGAGAAUACCAAGGCGCUUGAGAGAACUCGGGUGAAGGAACUAGGCAAAAUGGUGCCGUAACUUCGGGAGAAGGCACGCUGACACGUAGGUGAAGUGAUUUACUCAUGGAGCUGAAGUCAGUCGAAGAUACCAGCUGGCUGCAACUGUUUAUUAAAAACACAGCACUGUGCAAACACGAAAGUGGACGUAUACGGUGUGACGCCUGCCCGGUGCCGGAAGGUUAAUUGAUGGGGUCAGCGCAAGCGAAGCUCCUGAUCGAAGCCCCGGUAAACGGCGGCCGUAACUAUAACGGUCCUAAGGUAGCGAAAUUCCUUGUCGGGUAAGUUCCGACCUGCACGAAUGGCGUAAUGAUGGCCAGGCUGUCUCCACCCGAGACUCAGUGAAAUUGAACUCGCUGUGAAGAUGCAGUGUACCCGCGGCAAGACGGAAAGACCCCGUGAACCUUUACUAUAGCUUGACACUGAACAUUGAGCCUUGAUGUGUAGGAUAGGUGGGAGGCUUUGAAGCGUGGACGCCAGUCUGCGUGGAGCCGACCUUGAAAUACCACCCUUUAAUGUUUGAUGUUCUAACGUGGACCCGUAAUCCGGGUUGCGGACAGUGUCUGGUGGGUAGUUUGACUGGGGCGGUCUCCUCCUAAAGAGUAACGGAGGAGCACGAAGGUUGGCUAAUCCUGGUCGGACAUCAGGAGGUUAGUGCAAUGGCAUAAGCCAGCUUGACUGCGAGCGUGACGGCGCGAGCAGGUGCGAAAGCAGGUCAUAGUGAUCCGGUGGUUCUGAAUGGAAGGGCCAUCGCUCAACGGAUAAAAGGUACUCCGGGGAUAACAGGCUGAUACCGCCCAAGAGUUCAUAUCGACGGCGGUGUUUGGCACCUCGAUGUCGGCUCAUCACAUCCUGGGGCUGAAGUAGGUCCCAAGGGUAUGGCUGUUCGCCAUUUAAAGUGGUACGCGAGCUGGGUUUAGAACGUCGUGAGACAGUUCGGUCCCUAUCUGCCGUGGGCGCUGGAGAACUGAGGGGGGCUGCUCCUAGUACGAGAGGACCGGAGUGGACGCAUCACUGGUGUUCGGGUUGUCAUGCCAAUGGCACUGCCCGGUAGCUAAAUGCGGAAGAGAUAAGUGCUGAAAGCAUCUAAGCACGAAACUUGCCCCGAGAUGAGUUCUCCCUGAGACUUUAAGUCUCCUGAAGGAACGUUGAAGACGACGACGUUGAUAGGCCGGGUGUGUAAGCGCAGCGAUGCGUUGAGCUAACCGGUACUAAUGAACCGUGAGGCUUAACCUU